This 597-nucleotide unclassified non-coding RNA is filed under the name Hevea brasiliensis (rubber tree). Lineage: Eukaryota; Viridiplantae; Streptophyta; Magnoliopsida; Malpighiales; Euphorbiaceae. The record is from RNAcentral.
UUUUUAUCUAAAUCUGGUUUUUAUUUCCACAAUGUAACAGAAGUUACAUAUAGCUACAAAAUGUACUCAAUGUCAUCUUGGAAGCUAAGGAUCCAAAUGGAUUAACAGAAUGGGGAACAAAAGAAAAAAGGAAAACACCCUACACCAGCUCUCUCUCUCUCUAUAUAUAUAAUUUUAAUUUGUGUAUAUCCUAUCCUCCCGAAAUACCAUUUGUGAGAUUACAUUGGAUAUGUUGUAUGUCGAGAUGUACUAGUGAUUACAUCUUUUCUUUUGCGAUUGUGCUGUCAGGUUGUAUAGUACAAGUCAAAAUGGCGUGAGGCUAUGCUGUUUUUGAUGUACUUUUUUUGGAAAAUGAUAAAAACAAAGCUAAAGUAUUGGUGUUCUGUAUUCAUUAGGCGGAGAGCAAGUUUUCACGGGAUUCAGUCAAUUGUCUUGUGAUGAAUGUUGAGAUGUACUAGUAGUCAAAAUGUUGCAAGGUUCAUUUCCUGCUCCAGCACCUUGGAUAACCAAAGGUUGUUUCUCUAACAACGGCUGUAUAUUUCCACCACAUUAUCACUUCCUCUUAAUCUUCCCAAAGCAGAAUCUUUUGGAACUUCU